This 83-nucleotide transfer RNA is filed under the name Salix viminalis (osier). It matches the Rfam family "tRNA". From Rfam's summary of the family: Transfer RNA (tRNA) molecules are approximately 80 nucleotides in length. Their secondary structure includes four short double-helical elements and three loops (D, anti-codon, and T loops). The record is from RNAcentral. Lineage: Eukaryota; Viridiplantae; Streptophyta; Magnoliopsida; Malpighiales; Salicaceae.
GUUGAGGUAGCCGAGUUGGUCCAAGGCGCGCGACAUUAAGGCUAUCUUCCGAGAGGGUGUGGGUUUAAAUCCCACUCUCUGCA